GUAGUCCACGCUGUAAACGAUGGGUACUAGGUUUGGCGGGUCUUGACCCCUGCCGAACCGCAGCUAACGCAAUAAGUACCCCGCCUGGGAAGUACGGUCGCAAGACUAAAACUCAAAGGAAUUGACGGGGGCCCGCACAAGCGGUGGAUCAUGUGGUUUAAUUCGAAGCAACGCGAAGAACCUUACCUGGAUUUGACAUCCUCUGACAAACGUAGAGAUACGUCUUUCGUAGCAAUACGACAGAGAGACAGGUGCUGCAUGGCUGUCGUCAGCUCGUGUGGUGACAUGUUGGGUUAAGUCCCGCAACGAGCGCAACCCUUGUCCUUAGUUGCCAGCAUUCAGUUGGGCUCUCUAAGGAGACUGCCGUGGUGAACACGGA
RNAcentral lists this ribosomal RNA (379 nucleotides) under uncultured bacterium. RNAcentral describes it as "bacterial SSU rRNA". It matches the Rfam family "Bacterial small subunit ribosomal RNA", at positions 790 to 1167 of the family's 1533-position model. The record is from RNAcentral.